AUUGAACGCUGGCGGCAUGCCUUACACAUGCAAGUCGAACGGCAGCACGGGUGCUUGCACCUGGUGGCGAGUGGCGAACGGGUGAGUAAUACAUCGGAACAUGUCCUGUAGUGGGGGAUAGCCCGGCGAAAGCCGGAUUAAUACCGCAUACGAUCUACGGAUGAAAGCGGGGGACCUUCGGGCCUCGCGCUAUAGGGUUGGCCGAUGGCUGAUUAGCUAGUUGGUGGGGUAAAGGCCUACCAAGGCGACGCUCAGUAGCUGGUCUGAGAGGACGACCAGCCACACUGGGACUGAGACACGGCCCAGACUCCUACGGGAGGCAGCAGUGGGGAAUUUUGGACAAUGGGCGAAAGCCUGAUCCAGCAAUGCCGCGUGUGUGAAGAAGGCCUUCGGGUUGUAAAGCACUUUUGUCCGGAAAGAAAUCCUUGGCCCUAAUACGGUCGGGGGAUGACGGUACCGGAAGAAGAAGCACCGGCGAACUACGU
RNAcentral lists this ribosomal RNA (485 nucleotides) under uncultured bacterium. Its description in RNAcentral is "partial 16S ribosomal RNA". It matches the Rfam family "Bacterial small subunit ribosomal RNA", at positions 30 to 506 of the family's 1533-position model. The record is from RNAcentral.